RNAcentral lists this small nucleolar RNA (274 nucleotides) under Pelusios castaneus (West African mud turtle). RNAcentral describes it as "Small Cajal body specific RNA 6 (ENSPCEG00000012164.1)". It matches the Rfam family "Small Cajal body specific RNA 6". From Rfam's summary of the family: U88 is small Cajal body specific RNA (scaRNA). scaRNAs are a novel class of small nuclear RNAs which localise to the Cajal bodies. U88 is found associated with both fibrillarin and Gar1p and co-localises with coilin in Cajal bodies. The record is from Rfam by way of RNAcentral. Lineage: Eukaryota; Metazoa; Chordata; Testudines; Pelomedusidae.
GGUCAAUGAUGAAUAGUAAAAGGUCUGAAUGCCCAAGGGAAUCGCACUCUCAUUACCCUUUAAGCUCCCAGCAGUCUCUCUUUGUUCCAUCAAGCUAUAGCAGUGCUGUGAUUGGGGGAGAGGCUGCUGACAAUUUGGGGUAUGCUCAGUUCCUGUUAUCCACAGUGUAAGGAAGCAUGGCACUGACUGUCAUCCAACAGAGCCAAUGAAGGAGUGUAGGGUUUUGGAGUGUCUUGAUUUGGGGUAUGUGAUUUCAAGUUUUCAAGCUGAGACC